AGUGAACGCUGGCGGUAGGCCUAACACAUGCAAGUCGAACGGCAGCACAGUAAGAGCUUGCUCUUACGGGUGGCGAGUGGCGGACGGGUGAGGAAUACAUCGGAAUCUACUUUUUCGUGGGGGAUAACGUAGGGAAACUUACGCUAAUACCGCAUACGACCUACGGGUGAAAGCAGGGGAUCUUCGGACCUUGCGCGAUUGAAUGAGCCGAUGUCGGAUUAGCUAGUUGGCGGGGUAAAGGCCCACCAAGGCGACGAUCCGUAGCUGGUCUGAGAGGAUGAACAGCCACACUGGAACUGAGACACGGUCCAGACUCCUACGGGAGGCAGCAGUGGGGAAUAUUGGAUAAUGGGCGCAAGCCUGAUCCAGCCAUACCGCGUGGGUGAAGAAGGCCUUCGGGUUGUAAAGCCCUUUUGUUGGGAAAGAAAAGCAGCAGGUUAAUACCCCGCUGUUCUGACGGUACCCAAAGAAUAAGCACCGGCUAACUUCGUG
Molecule: ribosomal RNA, 492 nt
Filed under: uncultured bacterium
Lineage: Bacteria
Description: partial 16S ribosomal RNA
Rfam family: Bacterial small subunit ribosomal RNA
Source: RNAcentral